ACGCGAAAGGCCCCUUCGGGGGCCGAGUAGAGUGGCGUCCGGGUGAGUAACACGUGAGUAAUUUGCCUUCGGGUGGGGAAUAACAACCGGAAACGGUUGCUAAUACCGCAUAAUGCAGCGGCACCACAUGGUGACAGUUGUUAAAGCGGGGGAUUCGCAAGAACCUCGUGCCUGAAGAGAAGCUCGCGGCGGAUUAGCUAGUUGGUAGGGUAACGGCCUACCAAGGCCACGAUCCGUAGCCGGCCUGAGAGGGCGGUCGGCCACACUGACACUGACACACGGGUCAGACUCCUACGGGAGGCAGCAGUCGGGAAUUUUGGGCAAUGGGCGAAAGCCUGACCCAGCAACGCCGCGUGAAGGAUGAAGUUUUUCGGAAUGUAAACUUCACAAGAAUGGGAAGAAUAAGUGGGGGAUAAUACCCCCCAUGAUGACGGUACCAUUUGUAAGCUCCGGCUAACUCCGUGCCAGCAGCCGCGGUAAUACGGGGGGAGCAAGCGUUGUUCGGAUUUACUGGGCGUAAAGGGCGCGUAGGCGGCGCAACAAGUCACUUGUGAAAUCUCCGGGCUUAACUCGGAGCGGCCAAGUGAUACUGUCGUGCUAGAGUGCGGAAGGGGCUACUGGAAUUCUCGGUGUAGCGGUGAAAUGCGUAGAUAUCGAGAGGAACACCUGCGGCGAAGGCGGGUAGCUGGGCCGACACUGACGCUGAGGCGCGAAAGCCAGGGGAGCGAACGGGAUUAGAUACCCCGGUAGUCC
RNAcentral lists this ribosomal RNA (753 nucleotides) under uncultured bacterium. Its description in RNAcentral is "bacterial SSU rRNA". It matches the Rfam family "Bacterial small subunit ribosomal RNA", at positions 66 to 796 of the family's 1533-position model. The record is from RNAcentral.